RNAcentral lists this ribosomal RNA (1373 nucleotides) under Vibrio splendidus 5S-101. Its description in RNAcentral is "bacterial LSU rRNA". It matches the Rfam family "Bacterial large subunit ribosomal RNA", at positions 1520 to 2865 of the family's 2925-position model. The record is from RNAcentral. Lineage: Bacteria; Pseudomonadati; Pseudomonadota; Gammaproteobacteria; Vibrionales; Vibrionaceae.
GUAGGCGGAAAGUUUAGGUAAAUCCGGACUUUCUUAACGCUGAGAUACGAUGUCGAGCUACUACGGUAGUGAAGUCAUUGAUGCCAUGCUUCCAGGAAAAGCCUCUAAGCUUCAGAUUGUAAGGAAUCGUACCCCAAACCGACACAGGUGGUCGGGUAGAGAAUACCAAGGCGCUUGAGAGAACUCGGGUGAAGGAACUAGGCAAAAUGGUACCGUAACUUCGGGAGAAGGUACGCUCUUAUCAGUGAAGUCCCUUGCGGAUGGAGCAGACGAGAGUCGCAGAUACCAGGUGGCUGCAACUGUUUAUUAAAAACACAGCACUGUGCAAAAUCGUAAGAUGACGUAUACGGUGUGACGCCUGCCCGGUGCCGGAAGGUUAAUUGAUGGGGUUAGACUUCGGUCGAAGCUCUUGAUCGAAGCCCCGGUAAACGGCGGCCGUAACUAUAACGGUCCUAAGGUAGCGAAAUUCCUUGUCGGGUAAGUUCCGACCUGCACGAAUGGCGUAAUGAUGGCCACGCUGUCUCCACCCGAGACUCAGUGAAAUUGAAAUCGCUGUGAAGAUGCAGUGUACCCGCGGCUAGACGGAAAGACCCCGUGAACCUUUACUACAGCUUGGCACUGAACAUUGAACCUACAUGUGUAGGAUAGGUGGGAGACUAUGAAAUUGCGUCGCUAGAUGUGAUGGAGUCGUCCUUGAAAUACCACCCUUGUAGUUUUGAUGUUCUAACGUUGGUCCCUGAAUCGGGAUUACGGACAGUGCCUGGUGGGUAGUUUGACUGGGGCGGUCUCCUCCCAAAGAGUAACGGAGGAGCACGAAGGUGGGCUAAACACGGUUGGACAUCGUGUGGUUAGUGCAAUGGCAUAAGCCCGCUUGACUGCGAGAAUGACAAUUCGAGCAGGUGCGAAAGCAGGUCAUAGUGAUCCGGUGGUUCUGAAUGGAAGGGCCAUCGCUCAACGGAUAAAAGGUACUCCGGGGAUAACAGGCUGAUACCGCCCAAGAGUUCAUAUCGACGGCGGUGUUUGGCACCUCGAUGUCGGCUCAUCACAUCCUGGGGCUGAAGUCGGUCCCAAGGGUAUGGCUGUUCGCCAUUUAAAGUGGUACGCGAGCUGGGUUUAGAACGUCGUGAGACAGUUCGGUCCCUAUCUGCCGUGGGCGUUGGAAAAUUGAAAGGGGCUGCUCCUAGUACGAGAGGACCGGAGUGGACGAACCUCUGGUGUUCGGGUUGUCAUGCCAAUGGCAUUGCCCGGUAGCUAAGUUCGGAAUCGAUAACCGCUGAAAGCAUCUAAGCGGGAAGCGAGCCUUGAGAUGAGUUUUCCCUGGCACUAUAAGUGUCCUAAAGGGUUGUCGUAGACUACGACGUUGAUAGGCAGGG